This 468-nucleotide ribosomal RNA is filed under the name uncultured bacterium. Its description in RNAcentral is "partial 16S ribosomal RNA". It matches the Rfam family "Bacterial small subunit ribosomal RNA", at positions 28 to 507 of the family's 1533-position model. The record is from RNAcentral.
GACGAACGCUGGCGGCGUGCUUAACACAUGCAAGUCGAACGGAAAGGCCCUGCUUUUGUGGGGUGCUCGAGUGGCGAACGGGUGAGUAACACGUGAGUAACCUGCCCUUGACUUUGGGAUAACUUCAGGAAACUGGGGCUAAUACCGGAUAGGAGCUCCUGCUCCAUGGUGGGGGUUGGAUAGUUUCGGCGGUUGGGGAUGGACUCGCGGCUUAUCAGCUUGUUGGUGGGGUAGUGGCUUACCAAGGCUUUGACGGGUAGCCGGCCUGAGAGGGUGACCGGCGACCUUGGGACUGAGAUACGGCCCAGAGUGCUAUGGGAGGCAGCAGUGGGGAGUAUUGCACAGUGGGCGGAAGCCUGAUGCAGCAACGCCGCGUGCGGGAUGACGGCCUUCGGGUUGUAAACCGCAUUCGCCUGUGACGAAGCGUGAGUGACGGUAAUGGGUAAAGAAGCACCGGCUAACUACGUG